UUUUUGUUAUAUAGAGAGAUUGAUGCAUAAACUCUGUGUUUGUAUGACCGCAAUUCCAAGUUUAGCGAAAUUGUCCGUAGGACAACACACCAACGGCCAUGAGCUGUCUCGGUCCUGCAGGCUUAGUCUCCACUGCUGCCCACCUGACACUCACAGCUGUGCAUAGCGUGCUGGCCUCUGCCAGGAACUCUAGUGAAUGGUUCUUGAGUUCUUGCUCUGGAGUGAUUUUUAAAACAAUGAUCAGAUAAUUCUGGAGGGAGUAGUAUAGAUUUUGAAUUUUCCUCAAUUGCUCUAUAAAAAUGGAAACAGCAACUAGGGAGCAAAACCAAAAACCCCUGGACACAGUUGAUAAUAAAAGGUGAUGCGCUAUCCUCACAAACCCCAAAGUAUGAAUGGAUGGAGACAAAAAGCCUCAGGAUCUGGUUGUGUUGGCAGCUGCUCGGGGGAAGCUCAAGGCGAUGGACAGACCUGAAAACAAGAGUCCCAGGCACUCCUAGGAAGGUGCAGGGGGACAUGGUGAAGAUGGCAGCUGACACUGGAGGGGGCCUGUGCAUCCCAAUGUGAGUGAUGCUGGAAUUCCAAGGGGCUGGAACACUCCAGGCCCUGUGGGUUCACCAAGGCAUCAGCCAAGCUCUCCUCUAGCUCCAGCCCCAGUGCUGGGAGAAGCUGCUGCAAGGAGACUCUGAAUUGCCCAGAACAGCCGCAGGAGUUGCAAUGGAAAGAGGAGUUCAGAUACAUGUGGGGAGCAAAGCAAAGGUCUUUGCAAUCGGCCUUGUUUUUUAAUGUUUCAUGAAAACAACUGACUUGGGAGCUCUGGAAAAGAUCUGACUUCUUGUUCCCUCCCACAUGUUUAGGAAAACCAAUUUUGCAUUAAAAUAAGUAUCAGAAAUGGAUCAUAGUUAUCUUAGUCCCUGCAGGUUGAUAGACAAGAUGCCAUUGACUGGGUGGCUUAUAAACAAUAGGAAUUUAUCUCAUAGUCUGGAGGCUGUGAAGUCCAAGCUCAAGGAGUCAGCAAACUUGGUGUCUGGUGAGGGCUAACUUUCGGAUUCAUAGAGCUCUGUUUUCUCCCUGUGUCCUCACAUGGCAGAAGGGGCAGGCAGCUCUCCGGGGUCCCUUUUAUAAGGGCACUAAUCCCACUCAUGCAGGCUCCACCCUCAUGACCUAAUCACCUCCCAAAGGCCCUGCUGCCUAAAACCAUCACCUUUGGGGUUAGGAUUUCAAAAUCGCCUAUGAAUUUUGAGGGGGAAAGCAGCAUUCAGUCCAGGUCCGUAACAAUGGUCAAAUCCCAUCUAAAAUUAUUAUAACACAAAGAAUAAGGAGCAGAGUAAUGUCCCCACAAACAGGAAACUACUCCAGGAAGGCACGCCCAGAACAUAGAAACUGGACCCUAAUAAUGCAUCAAUCUGAGAGGAAGGCCAGGUAGGUCAGGAGUUGGUCAUAGCUCACCUGGGUUUAGGGUGUGGGUCUUCAUUAUACUGUUCUAGUCUGCCUUUUGCUGGUUUACUUUUCAAGUAUUUGCCUGAAAUCUUAAUAUUAACAAGGUAUGAAACAGGGAUCAAUGAAACACAUCAUGGUAUAUGGUUCAGUGACAGAUGACAGUGGGAAAUCGCAGUGAAUGGAAGCAAGAAAUAUGGGACAAAGUACUUGAAGGUUCCUGGCCAUUUUUAUUUUAUUCUUUUUUUUUUUGAAAUGGAGUUUGCUCUUUUUGCCCAUGCUGGAGUGCAGUGGCGUGAUCUUGGCUCACUGCAACCUCCGCCUCCUGGGUUCAAGUGAUUCUCCCACCUCAGCCUCCCAAGUAGCUGGGAUUACAGACACCCGGCACAAUGCCUGGCUAAUUUUUGUAUUUUUAGUAGAGAUGGAGGUCUCACCAUGUUGGCCAGGCUGGUCUUGAACUCCUGACCUCAGGUGAUCUGCUCAUCUUGGCCUCCCAAAGUGCUUGGGAUUACAGGUGUGGGCCACUGCACCCAGCCCUCUGUUUUGUUUUUUGUGCCUUUCUCUUCCAUAGUGUCCAUAAUGAUCAUGCAUUAAUUACUUUCAUAGCUUGAAUGGGAAAAUGGGUCACUAUGUAUUUGAGAACAGUACUGGAUGCUUCGUGUUUGGAUGUGUGGGUGGAUCUGCUUCUUUCUUCUAUAUGCUCUGCUGUGUGCUCCCUGACUGCCCUGCUUUUAUUUUACUUCGUUUUACACCCUGCAUAUCUCGAUGUCUGCUUUUUUCCUCAGGUCUGGAGCCCGGCACUGUGGUCAUAACAGAGCAGGCAGUGGAUACCUGCUUCAAGGCAGAGUUUGAGCAGAUUGUCCUGGGGAAGCGGGUCAUCCGGAAAACGGACCUUAACAAGAAGCUGGUGCAGGAGCUGUUGCUGUGUUCUGCAGAGCUGAGCGAGUUCACCACAGUGGUGGGGAACACCAUGUGCACCUUGGACUUCUAUGAAGGGCAAGGCCGUCUGGAUGGGGCUCUCUGCUCCUACACGGAGAAGGACAAGCAGGCGUAUCUGGAGGCAGCCUAUGCAGCCGGCGUCCGCAACAUUGAGAUGGAGUCCUCGGUGUUUGCUGCCAUGUGCAGCGCCUGCGGCCUCCAAGCGGCCGUGGUGUGUGUCACCCUCCUGAACCGCCUGGAAGGGGACCAGAUCAGCAGCCCUCGCAAUGUGCUCAGUGAGUACCAGCAGAGGCCGCAGCGGCUGGUGAGCUACUUCAUCAAGAAGAAACUGAGCAAGGCCUGAGCGCUGCCCUGCACCUCCGCAGACCUGCUGUGAUGACUUGCCAUUAAAAGCAUUGUCC
Molecule: small RNA, 2774 nt
Filed under: Pongo abelii (Sumatran orangutan)
Lineage: Eukaryota; Metazoa; Chordata; Mammalia; Primates; Hominidae
Description: retained intron
Source: RNAcentral